UACGUAGGGGGCAAGCGUUAUCCGGAUUUACUGGGUGUAAAGGGAGCGUAGACGGCAGCGCAAGUCUGGAGUGAAAGCCCGUGGCUCAACCGCGGAACUGCUUUGGAAACUGUAUAGCUUGAGUACUGGAGAGGCAGGCGGAAUUCCUAGUGUAGCGGUGAAAUGCGUAGAGAUUAGGAAGAACACCAGUGGCGAAGGCGACUUACUGGACUGUAACUGACGCUGAGGCAUGAGAGCAUGGGGAGCAAACAGG
Molecule: ribosomal RNA, 253 nt
Filed under: uncultured Lachnospiraceae bacterium
Lineage: Bacteria; Bacillati; Bacillota; Clostridia; Lachnospirales; Lachnospiraceae
Description: partial 16S ribosomal RNA
Rfam family: Bacterial small subunit ribosomal RNA
Source: RNAcentral